This 58-nucleotide transfer RNA is filed under the name Loxodonta africana (African savanna elephant). Lineage: Eukaryota; Metazoa; Chordata; Mammalia; Proboscidea; Elephantidae. The record is from Rfam by way of RNAcentral.
UAGCACAGUGGUUAAAGCACUCAGCUGCUAACUGAAAUGUCGGUGGUUUGAACCCACC